RNAcentral lists this ribosomal RNA (440 nucleotides) under uncultured bacterium. RNAcentral's name for it is "partial 16S ribosomal RNA". It matches the Rfam family "Bacterial small subunit ribosomal RNA", at positions 338 to 795 of the family's 1533-position model. The record is from RNAcentral.
CCUACGGGUGGCAGCAGUGGGGGAUAUUGCACAAUGGGGGAAACCCUGAUGCAGCGACGCCGCGUGGGUGAAGAAGCGCCUCGGCGCGUAAAGCCCUGUCAGCAGGGAAGAAAAUGACGGUACCUGUAGAAGAAGCCCCGGCUAACUACGUGCCAGCAGCCGCGGUAAGACGUAGGGGGCAAGCGUUAUCCGGAUUUACUGGGUGUAAAGGGGGCGCAGACGGCGAGGCAAGCCAGGAGUGAAAGUCCGGGGCCCAACCCCGGGACUGCUCAUGGAACUGCGUGGCUAGAGUGCAGGAGGGGCAGGCGGAAUUCCUGGUGUAGCAGUGAAAUGCGUAGAGAUCGGGAGGAACACCGGUGGCGAAGGCGGCCUGCUGGACUGCAACUGACGUUGAGGCCCGAAGGCGUGGGGAGCGAAAGGGAUUAGAUACCCGGGUAGUC